GACGAACGCUGGCGGCAUGCCUAACACAUGCAAGUCGAACGAAGUCCUUCGGGGCUUAGUGGCGCACGGGCGCGUAACGCGUGGGAAUCUGCCCUUGGGUUCGGAAUAACAGUUAGAAAUGACUGCUAAUACCGGAUGAUGACGAAAGUCCAAAGAUUUAUCGCCCAGGGAUGAGCCCGCGUAGGAUUAGGUAGUUGGUGGGGUAAAGGCCUACCAAGCCGACGAUCCUUAGCUGGUCUGAGAGGAUGAUCAGCCACACUGGGACUGAGACACGGCCCAGACUCCUACGGGAGGCAGCAGUGGGGAAUAUUGGACAAUGGGGGAAACCCUGAUCCAGCAAUGCCGCGUGAGUGAUGAAGGCCUUAGGGUUGUAAAGCUCUUUUACCAGGGAUGAUAAUGACAGUACCUGGAGAAUAAGCUCCGGCUAACUCCGUGCCAGCAGCCGCGGUAAUACGGAGGGAGCUAGCGUUGUUCAGAAUUACUGGGCGUAAAGCGCACGUAGGCGGUUAUUCAAGUCAGAUGUGAAAGCCCGGGGCUCUAUCCCGGAACACCCUUUGAAACUAGAUAACUAGAAUUCUGGAGAGGUCAGUGGAAUUCCGAGUGUAGAGGUGAAAUUCCUAGAUAUUUGAGAAGAACCCCAGUGGCGAAAGCGACUGUCUGGACAGAUAUUGACACUGAUGUGUGAAAACGUGGGGGGAACAAACGAGUUUAUACCCCUGUGUAGACCGGGGGAGUAUUCCAUAGUGGGCUGCCCCCCGGGGUGAUCUCUAUCUAUAGAGCGGCCGCACGGGGGACCUCUUAUUCGUACUAUAGUGGAGUCUUAUUCGCCCGCUGCUGGCCUUCUUAUAACAAAA
This 854-nucleotide ribosomal RNA is filed under the name uncultured Streptococcus sp. RNAcentral describes it as "bacterial SSU rRNA". It matches the Rfam family "Bacterial small subunit ribosomal RNA". The record is from RNAcentral. Lineage: Bacteria; Bacillati; Bacillota; Bacilli; Lactobacillales; Streptococcaceae.